AUUGAACGCUGGCGGCAGGCCUAACACAUGCAAGUCGAGCGGAAACGAGUUAUCUGAACCUUCGGGGAACGAUAACGGCGUCGAGCGGCGGACGGGUGAGUAAUGCCUAGGAAAUUGCCCUGAUGUGGGGGAUAACCAUUGGAAACGAUGGCUAAUACCGCAUGAUGCCUACGGGCCAAAGAGGGGGACCUUCGGGCCUCUCGCGUCAGGAUAUGCCUAGGUGGGAUUAGCUAGUUGGUGAGGUAAGGGCUCACCAAGGCGACGAUCCCUAGCUGGUCUGAGAGGAUGAUCAGCCACACUGGAACUGAGACACGGUCCAGACUCCUACGGGAGGCAGCAGUGGGGAAUAUUGCACAAUGGGCGCAAGCCUGAUGCAGCCAUGCCGCGUGUGUGAAGAAGGCCUUCGGGUUGUAAAGCACUUUCAGUCGUGAGGAAGGUAGUGUAGUUAAUAGCUGCAUUAUUUGACGUUAGCGACAGAAGAAGCACCGGCUAACUCCGUGCCCAGCAGCCGCGGUAAUACGGAGGGUGCGAGCGUUAAUCGGAAUUACUGGGCGUAAAGCGCAUGCAGGUGGUUUGUAAGUCAGAUGUGAAAGCCCGGGGCUCAACCUCGGAAUAACAUUUGAAACUGGCAGACUAGAGUACUGUAGAGGGGGGUAGAAUUUCAGGUGUAGCGGUGAAAUGCGUAGAGAUCUGAAGGAAUACCGGUGGCGAAGGCGGCCCCCUGGACAGAUACUGACACUCAGAUGCGAAAGCGUGGGGAGCAAACAGGAUUAGAUACCCUGGUAGUCCACGCCGUAAACGAUGUCUACUUGGAGGUUGUGGCCUUGAGCCGUGGCUUUCGGAGCUAACGCGUUAAGUAGACCGCCUGGGGAGUACGGUCGCAAGAUUAAAACUCAAAUGAAUUGACGGGGGCCCGCACAAGCGGUGGAGCAUGUGGUUUAAUUCGAUGCAACGCGAAGAACCUUACCUACUCUUGACAUCCAGAGAACUUUCCAGAGAUGGAUUGGUGCCUUCGGGAACUCUGAGACAGGUGCUGCAUGGCUGUCGUCAGCUCGUGUUGUGAAAUGUUGGGUUAAGUCCCGCAACGAGCGCAACCCUUAUCCUUGUUUGCCAGCGAGUAAUGUCGGGAACUCCAGGGAGACUGCCGGUGAUAAACCGGAGGAAGGUGGGGACGACGUCAAGUCAUCAUGGCCCUUACGAGUAGGGCUACACACGUGCUACAAUGGCGCAUACAGAGGGCGGCCAACUUGCGAAAGUGAGCGAAUCCCAAAAAGUGCGUCGUAGUCCGGAUUGGAGUCUGCAACUCGACUCCAUGAAGUCGGAAUCGCUAGUAAUCGUGGAUCAGAAUGCCACGGUGAAUACGUUCCCGGGCCU
Molecule: ribosomal RNA, 1374 nt
Filed under: uncultured bacterium
Lineage: Bacteria
Description: bacterial SSU rRNA
Rfam family: Bacterial small subunit ribosomal RNA
Source: RNAcentral